Molecule: long non-coding RNA, 399 nt
Filed under: Homo sapiens (human)
Lineage: Eukaryota; Metazoa; Chordata; Mammalia; Primates; Hominidae
Description: non-protein coding lnc-RABGGTB-2:1
Source: RNAcentral
CUUAUCUCUGCUCAAAAAAAAAAAAAAAAAAAAAAAAUUAGCCAGAUGUAAUGGUGUGUGCCUGUAGUCCCAGCUACUCAGGAGGAUGAAGCAAGCAGAUUGCUUGUACCCUGGAGUUCAAAUUUGUAGUGAGCUAUGAUCAUGCCGCUGUAUUCCAGCCUGGGCAACAGAGUGAGACCCUGUCUCAAAAAGAUUAUAAUUUUCUCUUCCUGUAAUCUCCCACAGCAUCUCUUGAUACUCUUCACUCUCCAUUUUCUCUUCUAGUCUAAAUGAACUUCUUUAAGUUACUUAAACAUAUCUGCUGUCAUUUUCUGGCUUUGGAACGCUGUAAUUUUUGCCUAGAAUACCUCUUCCUCCUUCCCUGCAACCCCUUCUCCCAGGCUUCUCUAGCUAACUGCA